This 497-nucleotide ribosomal RNA is filed under the name uncultured bacterium. RNAcentral's name for it is "partial 16S ribosomal RNA". It matches the Rfam family "Bacterial small subunit ribosomal RNA", at positions 28 to 507 of the family's 1533-position model. The record is from RNAcentral.
GACGAACGCUGGCGGCGUGCCUAAUACAUGCAAGUAGAACGCUGAAGAGAGGAGCUUGCUCUUCUUGGAUGAGUUGCGAACGGGUGAGUAACGCGUAGGUAACCUUCCUUGUAGCGGGGGAUAACUAUUGGAAACGAUAGCUAAUACCGCAUAACAAUGGAUGACACAUGUCAUUUAUUUGAAAGGGGCAAUUGCUCCACUACAAGAUGGACCUGCGUUGUAUUAGCUAGUAGGUCAGGUAAUGGCUCACCUAGGGGACGAUACAUAGCCGACCUGGAAGGGUGAUCCGCCAACACUGGACCGAGGCAACGGCCAGACCCCUAAGGGGGGGCGCCGUAGGGGAUCUUUGGCAAUGGGGGCCACCCUGGCCGAACAACUCCGGGGGAGUGAAGAAAGUUUUUCGAUCGUAAAGGUAUGUUGUGAGGCAAGAACGGGUGUGAGGGUGGAAAGUUCACACUGUGACGGUAGCUGAACAGAAAGGGACGGCUAACUACGUG